AAGAGGGGCCCGCGUCCGAUUAGGUAGUUGGUGGGGUAAAGGCCUACCAAGCCGACGAUCGGUAGCUGGUCUGAGAGGAUGAUCAGCCACACUGGGACUGAGAUACGGCCCAGACUCCUACGGGAGGCAGCAGUGGGGAAUAUUGGACAAUGGGGGCAACCCUGAUCCAGCAAUGCCGCGUGAGUGAUGAAGGCCUUAGGGUUGUAAAGCUCUUUUGCCAGGGAAGAUGAUGACUGUACCUGGAGAAUAAGCCCCGGCUAACUUCGUGCCAGCAGCCGCGGUAAUACGAAGGGGGCUAGCGUUGUUCGGAAUUACUGGGCGUAAAGGGCGCGUAGGCGGCCGUUUAAGUUAGAUGUGAAAGUCCUGGGCUCAACCUGGGGACUGCAUUUAAUACUGGAUGGCUUGAAUUCGGGAGAGGAUAGCGGAAUUUCCAGUGUAGAGGUGAAAUUCGUAGAUAUUGGGAAGAACACCGGUGGCGAAGGCGGCUAUUUGGACCGACAUUGACGCUGAGGCGCGAAAGCGUGGGGAGCAAACAGGAUUAGAUACCCUGGUAGUCCACGCCGUAAACGAGGAGUGCUAGACGUUGGGAAGCUUAGCUUUUCAGUGUCGCAGCUAACGCAUAA
RNAcentral lists this ribosomal RNA (623 nucleotides) under uncultured bacterium. RNAcentral's name for it is "bacterial SSU rRNA". It matches the Rfam family "Bacterial small subunit ribosomal RNA", at positions 222 to 862 of the family's 1533-position model. The record is from RNAcentral.